GACGGGGACCCGCACAAGUAGCGGAGCAUGUGGUUUAAUUCGAAGCAACGCGAAGAACCUUACCUAAGCUUGACAUCCCAAUGACAUCUCCUUAAUCGGAGAGUUCCCUUCGGGGACAUGGGUGACAGGUGGUGCAUGGUUGUCGUCAGCUCGUGUCGUGAGAUGUUGGGUUAAGUCCCGCAACGAGCGCAACCCUUGUCUUUAGUUGCCAUCAUUAAGUUGGGCACUCUAGAGAGACUGCCAGGGAUAACCUGGAGGAAGGUGGGGAUGACGUCAAAUCAUCAUGCC
RNAcentral lists this ribosomal RNA (288 nucleotides) under Clostridioides difficile. RNAcentral describes it as "partial 16S ribosomal RNA". It matches the Rfam family "Bacterial small subunit ribosomal RNA", at positions 912 to 1199 of the family's 1533-position model. The record is from RNAcentral. Lineage: Bacteria; Bacillati; Bacillota; Clostridia; Peptostreptococcales; Peptostreptococcaceae.